GACGAACGCUGGCGGCGUGCUUAACACAUGCAAGUCGAACGGAAAGGCCCCUUUGGGGGUACUCGAGUGGCGAACGGGUGAGUAACACGUGAGUAACCUGCCCUUGACUUCGGGAUAACUUCAGGAAACUGGGGCUAAUACCGGAUAGGAAUCCUUGCUGCAUGGUGGGGGUUGGAAAGCUUCGGCGGUUUUGGAUGGACUCGCGGCUUAUCAGCUUGUUGGUGGGGUAGUGGCUUACCAAGGCUUUGACGGGUAGCCGGCCUGAGAGGGCGACCGGCCACAUUGGGACUGAGAUACGGCCCAGACUCCGACGGGAGGCAGCAGUGGGGAAUAUUGCACAAUAGGCGGAAGCCUGAUGCAGCAACGCCGCGUGCGGGAUGACGGCCUUCGGGUUGUAAACCGCUUUCAGCAGGGGCGAAGCUUGUGGUGACGGUACCUGCAGAAGAAGCACCGGCUAACUACGUG
Molecule: ribosomal RNA, 465 nt
Filed under: uncultured bacterium
Lineage: Bacteria
Description: partial 16S ribosomal RNA
Rfam family: Bacterial small subunit ribosomal RNA
Source: RNAcentral